Pantherophis guttatus is the source of this 466-nucleotide long non-coding RNA. RefSeq lists it as uncharacterized. The record is from RefSeq and is a predicted model, not a curated record. NCBI's taxonomy places the organism in Eukaryota, Metazoa, Chordata, Lepidosauria, Squamata, Colubridae.
AGAAUUCCAAACUUCAGGGGGAGCAUCGGAAGAACCGUCGCCCGCCUUUGGGUUAGAAGAACGGGGUGCUUGCAUUGUCGGAGUAAGGAGUAAGAUGCCCAGGGGACAAAAAGAAAAGAUAUCUUAAUAUUAAUCAAAAGGAAUUUGGACAUUUUGACUUGAAGAUUUCCUUCCUGUCCUCUCCUUCCCAGGGUUUUAUUUUAAGAAAAAACUCAGAAACUUAAAAAACAACAGCCAAAAAAAAAAGUUACCUGUACAGAACAGAAGAAGCUAACAAUGAUACCCAGGAAUGGAAGAUUCGGUGCAAGGAUCGCAAGAAUUCAAGCAUUUAUCUCAAACUCUGAGCGGUUCAUGUAUUGCUGGGCCUUCCGUCUGAAAUUACUGCUAUAUUCUCACAGCCCACAUUUUCCUUUACAUUUUUCCCCCUUCCCCUUCCAACCAUUAUUAAACUAAAAUACAAACAGAA